GGUGCGCCGGUUAAAACUUUGAUUGAGGUGAAAGUGAAGGAGUGUGCGAGCCAGCCGUGUGUCUGGGCGUGACAAGCACGCUCUUCAUAAGCAAGCAAAGCAUCGCGUGCAAGCUACGCGUGUUUGAUGGAAACCACCAAAGGUUGAUCAAUCUUUAUCGGAGAUCGACGUCAGAUCAGUGUUACUCGGGACGCGAGCUACCAAAAGUGUCCUCUCUCUCUCUUCUUUUUUUGUUCUUCUCCAAUAAUAACGG
This 253-nucleotide long non-coding RNA is filed under the name Brassica napus (rape). RNAcentral describes it as "long non-coding RNA (BNAP_LNC008873)". The record is from RNAcentral. Lineage: Eukaryota; Viridiplantae; Streptophyta; Magnoliopsida; Brassicales; Brassicaceae.